RNAcentral lists this long non-coding RNA (1397 nucleotides) under Zonotrichia albicollis (white-throated sparrow). RNAcentral describes it as "lncRNA (ENSZALG00000005694.1)". Lineage: Eukaryota; Metazoa; Chordata; Aves; Passeriformes; Passerellidae. The record is from RNAcentral.
GCAUGAUCUCAGGGCAUUUCACAAGUGCUGUGAGACAUUUGAGGGGCUGACUUUCCCCCCCUUUUCCCUGAGAUACUGUUUUGUUCUAUUUUCACGAUGUGAUGAUACCCAGUGUAACAUGGAGCAAACUGACACUUGAAGCAGUAGAAAAAAUGUAUUUCUAGGAGAUGGAUUUAUUUUCUAAUGAGGUAUUUGAUGUUUUUCCAGGCUCUAAACAAAUUAGACCCAGAUCUGUGGCUGCAGGGCAUUGGGAGGGGAAGUGGUUGAUGAGCUGAGCUAAUUAAUUGCACUUACUUAUGACUUAUCAAAUGGUGAUCACCACCCCAUAUGGAGCACUUGAGUGUGUGGAAUUGAGGAGAGAGGAUAUUGAUAUGUGGGAUAAAUGUAAAGCAGUGGUCAAUGGCAAGGACAUAAAUAAAUCUGGGGAUUCGGGUGACAUUAAAAUAAAUUGUGGGUAGUGAGGUAUGAGAGAGACUUAAUGUCAAAGGAACCCUAUAAUGUAUUUAUAUUCCCACUCAGGAUUUGCUGGAGUUUCUAAAUAAUGCAUUAAUUCAAUUACACAUUCUUAAUUAGUGUUUUCUCAAAUUGGAGCAACAUCAUUAAUUUACUGCGUCAUAUUUUUAUUUUGCUGGUGUGGUGAGUUUCAUUUUCGACUCUUUCCCCUCUCUGGUUUGUGAGACUCGUAACACUUAGCUGUGAUGCUCAUGCCACAAGCUGCAGCUUCUUUGGGAAUACCAGAUUUCUGAAUUAUAAUUUUUUAAAAUAUUUUUUUUUUACACUGACAGGCAGCACAGCACUGACCUGACCCCGUAAUAGGAGGAAGAGGGAGAAAAAGAGCCUAGAUCUGAAGCAGCUCCUUUUGAAUGCUGAGCAGCAUCUGCUCUCCAUAGAGCAGGGCGAUCUGCAGCAUGCUGGGGCAGGAUUACCCCCUUUGGGCUCCCCCAAAUGGGAUUAUUUGAUUUUUUUCCCCUCUCUGGACACUCCUGGUACUUGCAGGGAUGGGUGCUCCCUGUCCCUCUGGGCCUUUACCAGUCACAGCUUUCUGUAAGCACCCCCCAGUUCCUCACAGUAUCUCUCCUGGCCACCUGCAGCUGGCAGAGGCAGCUUCAACUAUGAUCAGUGCAUAAAUCUACCUGCAACACAGGAUGUUGGAAAAUUACCGAGAGACAGCAACGUCCUCCCUGCUGUUUGGUGAGAAAAGAAGGAUGCACCUUCAGGUAUGGGCUGGAAAAUUGUUUCAUCCUCUGUUCUCUAUUUGUGUUUCACCAAGCUUGCUCAUAGCAUUGAUUAGAGGGGGGAAAUAAGGUGUUUGCAAGAGGGAAACUUCAGAAGGGAUUCUCUAAAAGUCUCAAGCCACAGAUAAGUGUCUGCUCUGCACUCGAGCAGUGCAAGGCUCU